This 269-nucleotide long non-coding RNA is filed under the name Hordeum vulgare. RNAcentral's name for it is "long non-coding RNA (HVUL_LNC016784)". The record is from RNAcentral. Lineage: Eukaryota; Viridiplantae; Streptophyta; Magnoliopsida; Poales; Poaceae.
GUUAAUCCGGUGAGAGGGACCAAGGGGUGUGUUGGAAGGUUAGGUGAUGGAAAGCGUUGUUGUGGCAUCGAGGCUGCCGUGGCAACGAUGAUGGGGCGAGUGAAGUCAGAGGCGUUGUGGUGGUUGCGGUAGUCGGCUCUUUCUCCGACGUGUCCGUGAGAUUACCUCGGUUUUGUUUGUUGCAGUGAAGUCGGAGAUGCGGCGGCGGGGCCCCUGUGGCAAUGAUGACAGGCAGCAGCUGGUCCGUUCGGUGGUCUUCCACGGCGCCA